Molecule: transfer RNA, 85 nt
Filed under: Escherichia coli
Lineage: Bacteria; Pseudomonadati; Pseudomonadota; Gammaproteobacteria; Enterobacterales; Enterobacteriaceae
Also listed under: 8 other names
Description: tRNA-Tyr
Rfam family: tRNA
About the family: Transfer RNA (tRNA) molecules are approximately 80 nucleotides in length.
Source: RNAcentral
GGUGGGGUUCCCGAGCGGCCAAAGGGAGCAGACUGUAAAUCUGCCGUCAUCAACUUCGAAGGUUCGAAUCCUUCCCCCACCACCA